CAAAAGUCUACAGUUUAUUUAAUUGAUUUGGUUUUGGAGACAGUAAAUGGCUGGACUCUGCAAAUGUUAAGUAGUUUAUUCAAUUUAAACUUUUCAGUUUUCCAGUAAAACUACUGUUGGAGAUGCUAUUGUAGUUACAGGCAAAAGUUCUCUGUAUGUCUUGUACUCCAUGUUGCUGCAAUUAAUGUGUUGAGCUUUUUAAAACUACCUAAGAACUGGCCAUGCAGAGCAUAACACUAAGGCCAAUAAACUGAAAGUGGAACUGGAUUGUAAAAGCUAUGAGCAACAGAGUGAUAGAGCCAAAGUAGCGUUCUGUGAAUCUUUUAAGCAGUUUAGAUGCUACUCAUGGCUUCUCAUUGCCAGAAACGAGAAAUACUCAAAAGCAAAACAGAGUGUUGAAACAAGUAUAUCACCUUUAUUUUAUGUUUUGAAGCAAUCUUUUUUCAGUUCGGAGGUUGUGCAAUCCUGUUAAAUGGAGAUGCUUUUCGCAUUCUAGCAGUGGAUAAUUUUACUUUCUAUUAUUUUCCUUUUCAUUAUAACUGAUCUUAAGCAGCCUUGCUUGAGACUCUGUUGGCAAACAAUUCUGAACUGUUUGUUCAUGUUGCAGUAUGUUAUGUAGUGGAAAUGUUUGCAGCAUAGUUAUGUGAAAUAUUACAGGUUGAGGCAAAUAUUUGAAAUUAAACAGCAUAAUUUUCAUUAUUUUUCUGGUAAUAAAGGAAUAUGUAGUGGAAAUGUUUAUACUUCUGUCUCAUCAACAGGGCCUAGCAUUUGCUCUUGAGAAUGCAGUUGAGAUUAUGCUACAGUGCUUCCUAGUUUUCCUUGGUAAUAUAGUCUUUACUGUUGAAUCAUAAGAAUGAAUUGCUGCAAAAUGGGUGGUAAUUAUUUAAAAUACUUAACAAAGUGAAGCUGACAAAGUGACAGUGUAUCUCCAUACUGUAAAGAGCCAAAAGAAUAUGAUUUUAUGAUUAGUUAUGUGCUGUUUUUCAGCAGCAUUGCAUUUUGUUUAAAAAGUCCUGUCAUUAAGACCAAUUUCAUAUGUGUAUGGGACUCUGGUAUAAGCAUAAUUUGAGCCACUGAGUGAAUUCUCGUUCUUGUCCUAAGCAAGAUGUAACAACCAUUAAUAGCUUUGUUGCAGAAUCAAAAUCUUCAUUGUAAAUACUUGCUGUUUGUUUAGUUUAAGUUGUUGAAGUUGAGAACUCUAUUUAGAUUUUUCCAUUAGUCUCAAUAAAACUAGUCUCUAUCAGACGAGUCAAAUUUUUCAGCUGUACCUUGUUCUAGACAACUUCAGAGAUAAAAUUUACAGUUGAAGCUUGCAAACAAUACAUUGGAGCUAAAGUUCUGCAAAUUCAGUAUUUAUUCUUUUUUUAUUAUUUUUUAAAGGUUUUCAUUUUUUUAAAAUCAAAGACUGAUACCUUUGGUACCUAGUUUCUUAAAUCUUUAUUUAAUUCUAGUCCUCACGUGCUGCUGCAGUGGGUUUAAUCCUGCUCAUAUUGGUUGUUGGCACUUCUGACUUCUGCUCAGAGUGAAUGAGAUUCAGCCUGUCUACAAGUCUUUGCAGAAUCAAAGGUCCUGCAGGGUCAGUUAAUCUGUUUCCCUUUUGUGAGUUGUAUGGAUAGUGUCUGUUUUAUUUUGUAGUGGCUUAUGUUUGGUUACUGUGUUCUAAUAUAAUUGUUUAUUCUGGCAAUAAAUUUUCAGGUUGGGGUUUUUUUUUUAAACUUUUUUUGGCCCAGUUUUUUAUCAGCAUUUUCACUGCCACUUACCUGUUUAACAGCUUACAUUAAGUGGGUAGCAUAUUAAUAAUAAAACUUUCUAUUUAAUGUAAGAUUACCUCAGAUGUAAUCUUUCAUACUAUCUCUUUAGAGCUUCACUAAGUGAUUUAUGAAGUUAUUUUCAUUCUCUAUCUUCAUUUGCUGACCUACUGUUUAGAAACGUACAACUAAUAUAUAUUGGAAUAAUUCUUUGAAGUGUUGUCCUGGUUUCAGCUGGGAUAGAG
This is a long non-coding RNA of Aquila chrysaetos chrysaetos, 1993 nucleotides long. RefSeq lists it as uncharacterized. The transcript has 3 exons. The record is from RefSeq and is a predicted model, not a curated record. Lineage: Eukaryota; Metazoa; Chordata; Aves; Accipitriformes; Accipitridae.